This 330-nucleotide unclassified non-coding RNA is filed under the name uncultured fungus. RNAcentral's name for it is "partial contains 5.8S ribosomal RNA, internal transcribed spacer 2, and large subunit ribosomal RNA". Lineage: Eukaryota; Fungi. The record is from RNAcentral.
AACGCAUAUUGCGCUCGAGGCUUCGGCCAAGAGCAUGUCUGCCUCAGCGUCGGGUUAAUAUCACAUCCCUAUUCACCUUGUGAACAGGGCCAUGUGGACUUGGCUGUUCCAGUUCAGUGCGAGUUUGAUGUAACAAUCAUGCUCAGCAAGCACCCUGGAUCGGCUGAAGAACAGAGGCUAACAAGGACUCUUUAAGGGUCGCAACUGAGUAGGCACUUGUGCUAAUUACUUUAGUUGUUGGCCUGAGACCUUCUGUUCAGCCCUCAACCAGGAAAUCUAUUAACCUAUUUUCUCGACCUGAGCUCAGGCAAGAACACCCGCUGAACUUAA